Molecule: unclassified non-coding RNA, 18 nt
Filed under: Mus musculus (house mouse)
Lineage: Eukaryota; Metazoa; Chordata; Mammalia; Rodentia; Muridae
Description: oocyte_clustered_small_RNA6693
Source: RNAcentral
UUGUCAGCCGUUCUGGGA